AAAGUGCCAUGCGUAUGCCUUUUCACAUAACUCUCUGAACAUUUUCACAUAACUUUAUAUCUCUUUCAAUUAAUUUUAUAUCAUUUUCAUGCGAACACAAUCCGCCCUUUUCAUCCUGUAAGAUAACAGGUCACAGUUGCUUCUUGUUCUUGCGUAGGAUGCCUGCUAUCUCAAGUCCUCAAGGUCGUAAGGCUGUACCUCCUUAACCAAUACACACACACUCAUUGUAACUCUAUAAAAACUGUUAGCUCUCUUUGUCUGCAGAUUCACUCUGUGCAGACCUUUUUGACUGUACCUUGUGCUCUCCUAAUUGCAAUUAGAAUACACCUUUUUUGCUUAUGCUCCAACGACUCAGUCAUCUUUCCUCCUUAUAACGAUUUUUGCCACUACAUGUAUCUUUGUCAUACCAGCGAUUAUUCCACUACCCAAAUGAGAUAUAUACACAACUUGUACUUUUCACAUUUCCUGUGAAUUAUUUAUGAAAUGCUUGUUUUAGUUUGUCUGAAUUAAGUUGUGAGAGAUUUUCAAAGCAAUGGAAAGAACCACUUGAAGUAGUGAGGGUCAAAUUACAACACCACAUUUCUGUAACCUUGUGAAAUCCUCAUGACUUAAAUUAGCUCAUAGAGCUAACAGUUCCUAGUUCACUUCCUACUAACGGUCACCAUACAGUAGGUUAGUUCUGUUUUUUGUUGUUCUCACUUUGCAGCAUUUUUCCCUUGAUCGUUGUCCAUUUGUUGACAGAUUGCUGAAGAUAAUUUCUUUAUUUGCUUGUGUUUAGUCUACUUACAUGCGUAUGUGUCUUUUUUGGAGAAGUUCUUAUCUUUGGAAUUCUAGUGAGGACUUGCAAAACUAUCUGACGGCGUAUGUGCAGUUUUUUGCCAACACAGAAAACUCCACUUCCAUUUUGGGUGUGAGACAGCGGACUGAAAGCAGACCAACUGGAACAAAGACAAGGAAUAAUUAAAGUAAUGUUCAAGGAUCUGAAGAAAAAAGAUCUCCAUCGAGUGUGUUGACAAUGCAGGUGGAUUUCUUGGUGUGGUCAUCUAUGAGGAUAAAACAUUCCCUAUUGCUUCGCAACAGGGGCCUGCUUUUGGUGCUGGACAUGGACACCAGAGGUUACUGUAGUUUACAGAUUUGUCUUACUUUCAUCAUCUUGAAUUAAUGUCUCUCUGGAUAUGUGUUGUUGCCACUAAUCUAUCAAAUGUUUUUGUCUCUCUGUUGUAUAGUUUUGUGAGACCUUUCCAAUCCCCUCAUGAGGAUGAGGCCAUGGAGUGUGAUCCUCCAGUCACUAAAACUGAUUCAAAUGGGAGGUAAAGUGGGCUUGGAUCUUCGCUUUAUCAAUUACAUUUUUCUUGAUAGACCUUUUAUCACAAUUAUAAAAGGGGUAUAUAUAUUAAGGGGCAUAUAGAAGGGCAACAGUAGAUGUCAAACAGAAGUGGUAUAUCAUCUGAAAGCUGUGAACCUGAAGAUUAAUUUGAAAUGCAGCUCAGUACUGCUGUUCUAGUCAUGAAUCUGUAAUUACCAUGCUGUUUUAGUGAGGCACCUAUUCAAAUUCUGAGUGUUUAUAGUUUGUAAGGGCCUAAAACAUUAAGAUGGAAGUGUAUGAAGUCCAUUCUCGUGCUCAGUUACGUCUGAUAUGUUUGUAGCAGCAUAUUUUGGUUUGAUAUCAAUUUAUACACAGAUUUGGUGCUAAAUUUGACCAUUUUUGAGGACUCUGGAAUUGGUAAAAACUAGGCAUAAAAUCCUCCAAAAUUCCACAUUAAGACACAAAGACCUUGAUCAACACCAAAGAACAAUCAAUGCUGUGAUUUGAUAUCAAAAACUUUUUUGGGGACAUUUUGGGGAUUUAUAUACCAUUUGUAUUUUUCAACAAUUGGAUGGCAAACACAUACCUAGGUAAGCUUUACAUCUUCUGAAAGCUCUAGGUCGCUCUAGUUUGUAGUUGAAAAGUUUCAUGAGGCUUCGAUAUCCCGGAGGCCACAUACAUAAUUAGAAUGAUAGAUUAUUAUCAUAUUCUAACUCUGAGGUCACAGCAGGUAAUUUUAUACAGUGAGGUCACAUUUAAAAAAAAUGCUCUCACUACAAUCAAAAAGGCUAUUAUGCAGACUAACAUCAUCACAGGUGAAUAAAGUUGGGACCAUUGAAUCCACAACAGCCACAGUUUUCUAGUCUUCCCAAUUUAUGCAAUUCAAACAUUGUUUAUGGACCCCAGAAACAUUUAAAUAUAUCAUUGCUAGAAUAGGAAAAAAUAACACAUUUAAACUGUGUUAAAGAAACUGCAUUUUUUAACGUUUUGUUUUUGCCUAAAAAUGCAUUGGAUAAUCAUUCCUAUCUGAAAAGGGUAGACCUUUGGGUGCCCAUAGAACUCAUUUUAAUUCAGAUAGCUUGAUGUCAGCGUGACCCCUUUGAAAAUGGCAAUGUCAGGUUUCCCCCCAAAAAAUGCCUAAUAUUGCACAGAAUGCAUUUACAGUAAUGUGCCAAAGAUACAGUAUCUUACUGCGCCACCUACUGUGUUAUAAAUGUGCUAUAAAUGUGCAACUCUAAAAAAAAUACAGUGUAUAUGGAAAAAUGUCAAUAUA
Long non-coding RNA from Centropristis striata (black sea bass), 2579 nucleotides. RefSeq lists it as uncharacterized. Lineage: Eukaryota; Metazoa; Chordata; Actinopteri; Perciformes; Serranidae. The transcript is spliced from 3 exons. The record is from RefSeq and is a predicted model, not a curated record.